AUGGACGAGUCCUGCGAAGUCUACAACCACCUGUACUCAGCGCUGCUCGGGUUCUACCAGCCUGAGUCUCUGGGGGACAGUGACAGCACUGAUGUGGUCCCUGCCUUCGAUCCUGAGCCAGUCAUCGCCCACUGCUUCAAGCAGUUCAAGCAGGACUUCCGCCUGCCGCAGAGCCGCCGGAGGGUCAUCAUUGUGCCUGCCCAGCAAGGACAGGCACCUGUGGACCCCACGCCCAGGCCCCCGCCGUCCCUACCACCUGUCUCCAGCCUCAGCAGCCUGGAUGGUGGAGGAGAGGGUGGGGACAUCCCCGGGCCACUGGAGGACAGGGCGGCCUGGCUUCACCAGAGGGCAAGGCUGCGGAAGGAGCUGGAAGCCCUGGGCGACGUGACGCAGUGGCUGAAGAACAAGCCCAGCAUCUCGCCCUUGGAGGCCAAGGUCCUGCGCAUGCUCCACAAGGAGCGUGAGGCCCAGCUCACGGGGCAGGUGACGGCCACCGUGGCCACCAAGAAAGGAACCCCUCAGCGAGUGGUGCCCCAGCUGCGGCUGCCCAAGCCCCAGGCCCUGUCAGCCCUGUACAGCUACCUGCGUAGCCGCAAGAUCCAGGUGCUGGAGCUGUUCGCCAAGGGCCAGGGCAUGCAGCAGAGAGUCUCCCGGGAGGAGUUCCUCUCGGCACUCAGGACGGUCGGAGUCCCCCUACAGCAGCAGGAGAUGGAGGACGUGGUGAUCUACCUGAGCUCCCUCGGGAAGCAGCACGAGAUCACCAUAGAGACCCUGGCCAGCACCUACAAGCAGUGGUCUGUGGCCCAGCAGAGGAGCAUACUGCCCACCACCUGCAAGUGUGCGUCCCCUUGCCUCCCUGGCCUGCACAAGCCCAGCGUGUGGUCUGAGGCCUCCUUUAUGGAUAAAGAGCUAGCGAAUGUUUCCUGCUCAGAGAUGGAAUCGGCACACUUUACAGCCUACUGGUUUGGUGUCCUCCUGGCGGGGCUAUACGAACAAAGCUGCUGUGGACAGUUGUUCAGGUUGUCCACAGCUUGAGUCCCAUUUGCAAGCCGUGUGCUUGUGGGGCUUCACCUGCCGGGAUCCAGCACAGUGGCAGGUUAGAAACGGGCUCCCAAGUGCUCCCAGCGUGAAGCGCCAACACAGGGCGCACCCCCUUCCUUUCUAUUUUAUUGCCCUUGUGGUAAAACAUGCCCACAACCGCCACCACUCUAGCUCUGUCCCCAGCCCACGCACAUUUGCUUUUCUAGGUGAAAUGCACGCUGUUCUGCCCACAUCUGCCAGGCUAGAAGGAACUGAACCUCAGACAUGUUGGGGGCCCUUGCCCUCCCUGAGGGGCUCCUUGUGCCCAAGGGCUCAUUCACAGAUGAGGGGGAGACAGGACUCUGCAGCUCAUGGUCCCCAGCAGGAACUCUGUGCAGACCCUGGAGUGGCCUCUGAGGAGAGGAAAGCAGCACCCUUACCCCAUUUCCCAGAAGUUUUUUUUUUUUUUUUUUUUUUUU
This 1499-nucleotide long non-coding RNA is filed under the name Chinchilla lanigera (long-tailed chinchilla). Its description in RNAcentral is "lncRNA (ENSCLAG00000024115.1)". The record is from RNAcentral. Lineage: Eukaryota; Metazoa; Chordata; Mammalia; Rodentia; Chinchillidae.